Molecule: long non-coding RNA, 293 nt
Organism: Centruroides sculpturatus (bark scorpion)
Lineage: Eukaryota; Metazoa; Arthropoda; Arachnida; Scorpiones; Buthidae
Exons: 3
Source: RefSeq, a predicted model, not a curated record
UAUUUAUGAAUCUCUAAAGCAAACUUAGGAAGAAGUAAAUAGAUAUUCCGGAAAGACUUUAUGGGAAACUGAUCCCUAUUUUGAUGUUAGACACAUGAAGAAAAUCCAGGAAACUCAAUGAAUAAUACGAACUAUUCAUGAAAAAUCACAAAGGUAAUACUUUUAGUAAUGAAUUGCAAUAGCAAAGGCCAUCAAGGAUAAAUUGGAAUAAAACGAUUCUGGAAAACAUGAAUUACAAGAUAAGGACGAAGUGAAUAGAAAGGAAUAACGACUAAGAUAAUAAAAAAGAAAGA